This 1215-nucleotide long non-coding RNA is filed under the name Apteryx rowi (Okarito brown kiwi). RNAcentral describes it as "lncRNA (ENSARWG00000015486.1)". The record is from RNAcentral. Lineage: Eukaryota; Metazoa; Chordata; Aves; Apterygiformes; Apterygidae.
AGUAGUAGUUCUGGCCUCCUUUCACUCGGCUGGUCUCUUGCCUUUCAGGAUUAUGCUGUUGCCUGAGGUCAAUCACAAAUGGAAAACAUUUUAAAAUCGUGAAAUUUUCUGCAGAAUGGAAAACUCAGUUCCCACCUAUUUGGAUUGUUUAAGUGCUUAGUAUGAGAUUAACACAUAUCCUCAUAUAAUUCUCUAGCAAGCAAUAAAUCCUGCACAGACUGAGAGGACUUUUCUCACCAAAAAGCUGUCUGCAUAAGAGGGGAUGUUGUCUUCUCUGUGAAUAUUCAAACUCUGGCUGUUCCAAAACUGAUCCCUGAAUGUUUGACAACUCUCAUCAGCAGUUUCUUUUUGGUCAAAGAAUUGAUUGCUCUUACAGUUGAAAGCCAUCACCUCAUCAGAAAACAAGGAAAAAUAUCAUGACAUUUCGAUGGAUGAUUAAACUCCUGGGAUAAUGAGAACGUGAAACAAACUUUCUUGAUAGCUCACAAAUCCAAGCAUUAUUAAUGCAAAUAAUUUCUAGCAACAAGCCUGUUGAUAGAAACUGGGCCCAGUUUGAAAACAAUUACUUUGAAGAGGGACAGCAGUAGGAAUUAGUAUUGUACACAACAGUCAGCCUGCCAAACUUUUCUUAAAUUCUUUUUUUUAUACAACAAUGGAACUUUAUACAAGCAUGGAAAUAGGCAGCUGCAUUUUACAUUUACACAACAUGGUUACAAGAUAACGGUUUAUGUAUGCUAGGUAAUCUCUACCCCCAUUCAAGAAAAAGUAAAAGGUGAGUUUGUACAAACUAACACAUUCCAGUGAAACCCUCAAAAGGGCAGUGGUGUGCUCUCUCCCUUUGUGGCUUGUCUUUGUGCUGUCGCCACUGCCCUUCUCUCCUCCACUGUCAUUCAGUACUGGGGAUAAGGACACUAGGUAUUCCUGUGACGGUUCCCAGCUGUGAACUGAGCCCUGCCACCCUUUUGCCAUAUCCCUAAAACAUUCCAACCAUCCAAGGAGGAAGCAACUUGGGUCACCUUCGUUCAGACUUUCAAAGCCCCAGGCCUACAAGCGCUACUCCAAAAUCCACAUUAACUCCUGCCCAGUGACUGACCUGACUUCUAAAUAGAUUGAAUUGCCCAGGGGCUCCGUCCAAAACCAAAAAAAUGACCUGGAGAGGACUUGGCACUUGCCAAACAUCAGGGCCUGAUAGUGAACUAAAGAGCCUAUGCUUUU